GACGAACGCUGGCGGCGUGCUUAACACAUGCAAGUCGAACGGAAAAGCCCUGCUUUUGUGGGGUGCUCGAGUGGCGAACGGGUGAGUAACACGUGAGUAACCUGCCCUUUACUUUGGGAUAACUUCAGGAAACUGGGGCUAAUACCGGAUAGGAGCUCCUUCUGCAUGGUGGGGGUUGGAAAGUUUCGGCGGUUGGGGAUGGACUCGCGGCUUAUCAUCUUGUUGGUGGGGUAGUGGCUUACCAAGGCUUUGACGGGUAGCCGGCCUGAGAGGGUGACCGGCCACAUUGGGACUGAGAAACGGCCCAGACUCAUACGGGAGGCAGCAGUGGGGAAUAUUGCAAAAUGGGCGGAAGCCUGAAGCAGCAACGCCGCGUGCGGGAUGACGGCCUUCGGGGUGUAAACCGCGUUCGCCUGUGAAGAUGAGUGAGUGACGGUAAUGGGUAAAGAAGCACCGGCUAACUACGUG
Molecule: ribosomal RNA, 468 nt
Filed under: uncultured bacterium
Lineage: Bacteria
Description: partial 16S ribosomal RNA
Rfam family: Bacterial small subunit ribosomal RNA
Source: RNAcentral